RNAcentral lists this long non-coding RNA (266 nucleotides) under Phaseolus vulgaris (common bean). Its description in RNAcentral is "long non-coding RNA (PVUL_LNC003464)". Lineage: Eukaryota; Viridiplantae; Streptophyta; Magnoliopsida; Fabales; Fabaceae. The record is from RNAcentral.
AAGUUUUCCUUUUAAAAGCUCUAGAGUUUUAUCAACUCUAAUUUGUCCCAUGAGUUCUCCUUCAUGAAGACUCUUUCUCUUAUGUGUAAGGAUAGUCUCGUUGUGACAACCAUUGUUUAUAAGGAUUUGUACACUUUGCAAUGGUUGUCUCAAUAAGACAUGACAAGUUUCUUUAGGCCCUACUUCACAUAAAAAUUUGUUUUUGUAGAUGCUUAUAAAAAACUUGACAUUCACUUGGUGAUAUCCUAGCACAUAUGAGAAAUAAU